GACGGAGGAUGCAAGCGUUAUCCGGAAUUAUUGGGCGUAAAGCGUACGUAGGUGGCUGGUCAAGUCUGGGGUCAAAGGCCGGAGCUCAACCGUGGAAAGGCAGUGGAAACUGAACGGCUGGAGUGAAGUAGGGGUAGCGGGAAUUCCCAGUGUAGCGGUGAAAUGCGUAGAGAUUGGGAAGAACACCGGAGGCGAAAGCGCUCAGCUGGGCCGCAACUGACGCUGAGGUACGAAAGCUAGGGGAGCGAAUGGG
Molecule: ribosomal RNA, 253 nt
Filed under: uncultured bacterium
Lineage: Bacteria
Description: partial 16S ribosomal RNA
Rfam family: Bacterial small subunit ribosomal RNA
Source: RNAcentral